Long non-coding RNA from Oncorhynchus tshawytscha (Chinook salmon), 440 nucleotides. Lineage: Eukaryota; Metazoa; Chordata; Actinopteri; Salmoniformes; Salmonidae. The record is from Ensembl.
UGUUCCCCUGGCUAUCUGUAAAUGAUGUCUGAGUGUUGGAUGUCCCCCUGGCUAUCUGUAAAUGGUGUCUGAGUGUUGGAGUGUUCCCAGGCUAUCUGUAAAUGGUGUUGGAGUGUUCCCCUGGCUAUCUGUAAAUGAUGUCUGAGUGUUGGAGUGUUCCCCUGGCUAUCUGUAAAUGAUGUCUGAGUGUUGGAGUGUUCCCCUGACUAUCUGUAAAUGGUGUCUGAGUGUUGGAGUGUUCCCCUGACUAUCUGUAAAUGGUGUCUGAGUGUUGGAGUGUUCCCCUGGCUAUCUGUAAAUGAUGUCUGAGUGUUGGAGUGUUCCCCUGGCUAUCUGUAAAUGAUGUCUGAGUGUUGGAGUGUUCCCCUGGCUAUCUGUAAAUGAUGUCUGAGUGUUGGAGUGUUCCCUGGCUAUCUGUAAAUGAUGUCUGAGUGUUGGAG